GAUAAAAAAAUUUGUUCAAUCCUAAGUCAGGUUGAGCUGAGUAGAUCAUUCAGCUCAUGGCCCUUUAUUAAAAAGAAAUAAAAAGACAUAAACAAGUUGACUAUAUAUAAAAAGAGCUGUAAUCAAAUUGAAUUAAGCUUAAGCUCAAGCUCAAGCUCAAGCUCAACUCGAAAUUCAAAGUUUAAUAAUUGACUUAAAGCUCAAUUUGACAUUUAUUUUUAAGUUUGAGCUUGAUUAAACUCUUACAUAUUUAAGCUCAAACUCAACUUUAAGUCCAAUUUAAAAAUUAAACUUAAGGUUAAUAAUAUAUAUUAAAAAUAAUAACGUAAAUAUUUAAAAUAUAUAUUUAAAUUAAAAAAACUCAUAAAUAGAAUAUUACUAAACUUGAAUUCAAACUUAAUAAAUAUUUUAAUUAAAUAUAAAUAAUUUACGAUGACUUAGUAAGAUAAAUUUUCUGAAAGAAAAUCAAUUCCUUCCUUCCUAUCAGAUAAAAUUCUUUUAAUUGCAAUUAUACUUGUUCAAAGGUUAGUUUGAUAAGAUGGAUCGGUUGUGCCAAGAGUGCUAUUUUUUAAUAAUAAAAAAAUAAUUUAAAUUUAAUUAAAAAAAUAUAGAAAUAUUAAUAGUAUUUUUAAAAAAUGAAUCUGCAUAGUGAGAUGGAGUCAGAGCGAUUGGUCUGAAGUAAAAACGAGGCGAGAGUAAAAAAAUGGAAGCAACGACCCCACCCCAGAACAAAUUUAAGUGCAAUAUAAUAUUAGUGAAAUUAAAAGUAAGGCAUCCGGCGAAUGAACGUUGAAUGAUAAACAAAUGGCAUGCCAUUCACAGUGGAAUUAAACAAAUCAAUCAAAUCUUUAUUAUAUUAUAAUAGGGUUGUUAUUAAAUAGACCAACCAUGAUCUAGCAUGCUCCUUUAGUUGGUUGCAACUUCCACCACAUCCUUCCCUUCAAUCUAUUACAUCAUGUCUAGAAGGUGUUAUCUUAUUAUAAUCGCAUUAAAACUUAAUUAUUUAUAUUAUCAUCAUAUUAUUUGGCAAUAUGAAAAGUAAGGUGAUUGCCUUGUCUAAUCUUAUUUUAAUUAGUAGUGUGUGUGUGAUGUUGCCACUUUCCUAAUCAUGUAUAAUUAUUGUUAAGACUGUGAAAUGAAGAUCAUCGCUUGUAUCAUUAUUUGCUUCAUAUCUUCAAACAAUAUAAUAAAGUUAGAAUCUUUGAACAAUCAAGUUUCUUUUUUAUGUAUUUCCUUCUUUGUUUAAACACCUCAAUAAAGGACUUCCUGUAAAACCAUGCCUAAUAUUCUCAGUUAUUAAAUAUUUUUAUUGCAUCUCUUUUUCCCUAUCUUUUCCACGUGUGUGUGUGUGUUUUUUUUUUAAAUUUUGGAUUGAUAGUUUUUCCUGAACAAGGGUGAAACGCUUGUUAACCGCGUAAUUAAAUGCUAAACACUAUAUAUAGGGUAGCCUAACCCUAAUAAUUAAGGACCUUAAUUGUAUUUUAAAUAUUAAAAUAAAAAUUAGGACGUUUUUCGAAGUAUGUGUUUUGUUUCUCCUAUUGAAAUCUUAUGUCGAAAUAUAAGUAUCAGGUGCUUGUAAUGACAAUUCAAUAGACAACAUUUGGAUUGAAUUGAGAAUUUACUCUUUUGUUAAUCAAUAAGAACUUG
This 1647-nucleotide long non-coding RNA is filed under the name Gossypium barbadense (sea-island cotton). RNAcentral describes it as "long non-coding RNA (GBAR_LNC009903)". Lineage: Eukaryota; Viridiplantae; Streptophyta; Magnoliopsida; Malvales; Malvaceae. The record is from RNAcentral.